AAAACGACUCUCGGCAACGGAUAUCUCGGCUCAUGCAUCGAUGAAGAACGUAGCGAAAUGCGAUACUUGGUGUGAAUUGCAGAAUCCCGUGAACCAUCGAGUCUUUGAACGCAAGUUGCGCCCGAAGCCAUUCGGCCGAGGGCACGUCUGCCUGGGCGUCACGC
RNAcentral lists this ribosomal RNA (164 nucleotides) under Goodenia coronopifolia. RNAcentral describes it as "5.8S ribosomal RNA". It matches the Rfam family "5.8S ribosomal RNA". Rfam says of the family: 5.8S ribosomal RNA (5.8S rRNA) is a component of the large subunit of the eukaryotic ribosome. It is transcribed by RNA polymerase I as part of the 45S precursor that also contains 18S and 28S rRNA. Functionally, it is thought that 5.8S rRNA may be involved in ribosome translocation. The record is from RNAcentral. Lineage: Eukaryota; Viridiplantae; Streptophyta; Magnoliopsida; Asterales; Goodeniaceae. RNAcentral also lists the same sequence under 3 other names.